This 76-nucleotide transfer RNA is filed under the name Acidobacteriota bacterium. RNAcentral describes it as "Acidobacteria bacterium tRNA-Val". It matches the Rfam family "tRNA". Rfam says of the family: Transfer RNA (tRNA) molecules are approximately 80 nucleotides in length. Their secondary structure includes four short double-helical elements and three loops (D, anti-codon, and T loops). The record is from RNAcentral. Lineage: Bacteria; Pseudomonadati; Acidobacteriota. RNAcentral also lists the same sequence under 1 other name.
GGGCGGUUAGCUCAGCCGGGAGAGCGCCUGCCUUACAAGCAGGAGGUCAGAGGUUCGAACCCUCUACCGCCCACCA